AUUUUAUAGUGUAAAUCAUGGAUGUCCAACCUUUUGGCUUGCCUGGGCCCCACUGAGUGAAGAGGAAUUGUCUUGGGCUGCAAAUAUAUAGGUGCCUCCAAAAGUAAUGCCUCCUAUUAAUUUCUGUGGAAACUACAACAGAUACAGUGAGUACAGUAACACUGCUUGAUAGAGCAAAUUCUCAGCUACAAAACACCAUUUUUCAACAUAGCCACCACCAGUAGCUCUGCAUUUUUAUCAGCAAUGAAUAGGAGCCUGCAUGCCAUGCCUGUAAAAGCCUGCACCAGCAGAGAUGACCCACUGUUACUGUUGCCGAAACGUACCACCCACUGCCUCACUGUGCUCACAUCCACUGUUUAUUCUCCAUCAACAUUCAGCAAGCACUGGUGAAUGUCAAUGGCGGACAUUUUUCUACAUUGAGGAAUUCAGUGACACAUCUUUGUCUCAUAUGCACUUGCAUGUCAAAUGCCAUUCUGUCAGACUGCCCCUUUGUUGCCACCUGUCACAUGGCAACAGAAUGUAGUGGGAUAUUGGUGGGAAGGUUCAAGUGUGCUGUUCACAGGACUGUGUCCAGGCAAUGUAUCAAAAUGCAUAAAAUUAUUUGCCAUAACUUGAGUCAGCACUGUACUGUUCACUCUCCUUGUCCUGGUUUCAGCCCAGAUAGGGUUAAUACUGCACCGAUGUUUGGUUGUUGCUGGGUGACGGGUGUGUGCCAGUCACCGCCAUGAUGGCUGGGAGUGGGCUCCACUGUGAGCUAUGAUGGGCCAUGUGCAGCCUGCGGGCUGCAGGUGGGACAUGCCUGAUGUAAAGGCUAAGAGUUCUUCUGCUGAUAAAAAUUGCAGUCAUCCAUUACUGGAAAAAUGCUACUUAAUUGCAGGAAAUGGAGAUUACACGUGACAGUAAGUUUAAAAUUUAUCAUAAAAUGAGACAUUCUACUGAAACAUGUUCAUGUUCAUUGAGUCCGUGCUUUGCAUUCUUCACAUUCCAGGUAGGCCUCUACUGGGAUACUAGGACACAGAAGCUGCCUUCUAAGGAGUACACUCAGCUCAUUAGUGAGCUCCCUGUGCAACCUCCUCCCCCCUACCACCCAAAGGAGGUUUCCUUCUUGGGCUCAAGCUCUGUUCAGAGAUGCUGCAGCUGUAACCUUGAAUCAGAGACAGUCAUGAAGACACUCAGUAUGUGAGAAGGAGCUGUGGGAAACCUCAUACAGUGCUUCUGCGAGUGAGGCUUUUGUCCUGCUGGCCAUGCUGUGUCACUGAGCUUCCGGUUCACCAUCUUUUGCAGAGACACCUACCCUUGCUGCUCCCUUUGUAUCACUCAUCAGUGACCUUCAUCACUAACUUCAUAUUUGUUUGCUUGGGAAGCUGGAAACCUACAGGACCUCUGGAAGGAACAAAUAGGAUUUAGGCCUCAGGAACAUGCCUAUGCCCUGUUCUAUUUUUGUGAAAUCUGUGUCCCAGGGGGUUGUCGUGGAGCCCAACCUGCACUGCAUCAGCAAGCUCUGGCAGCUGUUCAACUCUGCACAGGGACCAUUCACCCUCCUUCUGAUAGUCAGUUUCUCCCAUGAGUGAGAGAGCAUUGUUUCAGGUUCAUACUGGCUGUUUUGCUCUUGUAGAAGGACUCUUACAGUGCUUGGUUGGUAUUCCUUGCCAAGAAGUAGUGACUGUCCUGGCUAGUGGAUGAGGCUAAUGAUGUUCUUUUGACUGUGUCACUGGCAUUCAUUGUCAAUUUACUUCAGGUGUGAGGUCCAGAGUUUUUCUUCAGUCUUCUGAAACAAACUUGGACAGGAACUUUAGCCUACGCAUACAAAUACUCUGUUAUAACACGGUAUUAUGUGAAAAUCUGUCAAAUAGCAGUCUGUAGGAGUCCAGGCUUUCACACCAGCAUUACAA
RNAcentral lists this long non-coding RNA (1892 nucleotides) under Numida meleagris (helmeted guineafowl). Its description in RNAcentral is "lncRNA (ENSNMEG00000005643.1)". Lineage: Eukaryota; Metazoa; Chordata; Aves; Galliformes; Numididae. The record is from RNAcentral.